This 454-nucleotide ribosomal RNA is filed under the name uncultured bacterium. RNAcentral's name for it is "bacterial SSU rRNA". It matches the Rfam family "Bacterial small subunit ribosomal RNA", at positions 8 to 507 of the family's 1533-position model. The record is from RNAcentral.
AGAGUUUGAUCCUGGCUCAGAACGAACGCUGGCGGCAUGCCUAACACAUGCAAGUCGAACGAGACCUUCGGGUCUAGUGGCGCACGGGUGCGUAACGCGUGGGAAUCUGCCCUGGGGUGCGGAAUAACUCGGAGAAAUCCGUGCUAAUACCGCAUAAUGUCUUCGGACCAAAGAUUUAUCGCCCCGGGACUGAGCCCGCGUAGGAUUAGCUAGUUGGUGGGGUAAAGGGCCUACCAAGGCGACGAUCCUUAGCUGGUCUGAGAGGAUGAUCAGCCACACUGGGACUGAGACACGGCCCAGACUCCUACGGGAGGCAGCAGUGGGGAAUAAUGGACAAUGGGCGAAAGCCUGAUCCAGCAAUGCCGCGUGAGUGAUGAAGGCCCUAGGGUUGUAAAGCUCUUUACCCGGGAUGAUAAUGACAGUACCGGGAGAAUAAGCUCCGGCUAACUCCGUG